RNAcentral lists this ribosomal RNA (471 nucleotides) under uncultured bacterium. RNAcentral's name for it is "partial 16S ribosomal RNA". It matches the Rfam family "Bacterial small subunit ribosomal RNA", at positions 28 to 507 of the family's 1533-position model. The record is from RNAcentral.
GACGAACGCUGGCGGCGUGCUUAACACAUGCAAGUCGAACGAUGAAGCCUAGCUUGCUAGGUGGAUUAGUGGCGAACGGGUGAGUAAUACGUGAGUGACCUACCUUUGACUCUGGGAUAAGCCUGGGAAACUGGGUCUAAUACCGGAUACGACCAAUCUCCGCAUGGGGUGUUGGUGGAAAGCGUUAUGGAGUGGUGUUAGAUGGGCUCACGGCCUAUCAGCUUGUUGGUGAGGUAAUGGCUUACCAAGGCGACGACGGGUAGCCGGCCUGAGAGGGUGACCGGCCACACUGGGACUGAGACACGGCCCAGACUCCUACGGGAGGCAGCAGUGGGGAAUAUUGCACAAUGGGCGCAAGCCUGAUGCAGCGACGCCGCGUGAGGGAUGACGGCCUUCGGGUUGUAAACCUCUGUUAGCAUCGAAGAAGCGAAAGUGACGGUAGGUGCAGAGAAAGCGCCGGCUAACUACGUG